GUGCUGCUCACCCUAGCAGUACAUGGACUAAAACUAGAACAACACAGGGAAGAUCAGCUUGGCCCUUGUGCAAGGAUGACACCCAAUUUGUGAAGCAUUCCAUAUUUGU
Small nuclear RNA from Sciurus vulgaris (Eurasian red squirrel), 109 nucleotides. The record is from Ensembl. NCBI's taxonomy places the organism in Eukaryota, Metazoa, Chordata, Mammalia, Rodentia, Sciuridae.